UACGUAGGGGGCAAGCGUUGUCCGGAAUUAUUGGGCGUAAAGCGCGCGCAGGCGGUUCAUUAAGUUCGGUGUUUAAGGCUGGGGCUCAACCCUGGUUCGCACCGGAAACUGGUGGACUUGAGUGCAGAAGAGGAAAGUGGAAUUCCACGUGUAGCGGUGAAAUGCGUAGAGAUGUGGAGGAACACCAGUGGCGAAGGCGACUUUCUGGGCUGUAACUGACGCUGAGGCGCGAAAGCGUGGGGAGCAAACAGG
RNAcentral lists this unclassified non-coding RNA (252 nucleotides) under uncultured Paenibacillaceae bacterium. RNAcentral describes it as "contains 16S-23S intergenic spacer region". It matches the Rfam family "Bacterial small subunit ribosomal RNA", at positions 524 to 776 of the family's 1533-position model. Lineage: Bacteria; Bacillati; Bacillota; Bacilli; Caryophanales; Paenibacillaceae. The record is from RNAcentral.